UACGUAGGGGCCGAGCGUUGUCCGGAGUUACUGGGCGUAAAGCGCACGUAGGCGGAUCGUUAAGUCGGGGGUGAAAUCCUGGAGCUCAACUCCAGAACUGCCUUCGAUACUGGCGAUCUAGAGUCCGGAAGAGGUGAGUGGAACUCCUAGUGUAGAGGUGGAAUUCGUAGAUAUUAGGAAGAACACCAGUGGCGAAGGCGGCUCACUGGUCCGGUACUGACGCUGAGGUGCGAAAGCGUGGGGAGCAAACAGG
RNAcentral lists this ribosomal RNA (253 nucleotides) under uncultured bacterium. RNAcentral's name for it is "partial 16S ribosomal RNA". It matches the Rfam family "Bacterial small subunit ribosomal RNA", at positions 524 to 776 of the family's 1533-position model. The record is from RNAcentral.